Molecule: non-coding RNA, 196 nt
Organism: Oryza nivara
Lineage: Eukaryota; Viridiplantae; Streptophyta; Magnoliopsida; Poales; Poaceae
Source: Rfam
UCCCCGUCCCAUUUUUCACGGUUCAUAUUCCACGUUUAACCAUUCGUCUUAUUUAAAUUUUUUUUAUUAUUAGUAUUUCUAUUGUUAUUAAAUGAUAAAACAUAAAUAGUAUUUUAUGUGUGACUUUUUUUAAUAAAUUAUUUAAAUAAGACAGACGGUUAAAUGUUGGACACGAAUACCUAUGACUGUAUUUAUU